Xiphophorus couchianus (Monterrey platyfish) is the source of this 544-nucleotide long non-coding RNA. RefSeq lists it as uncharacterized. The record is from RefSeq and is a predicted model, not a curated record. The transcript has 3 exons. NCBI's taxonomy places the organism in Eukaryota, Metazoa, Chordata, Actinopteri, Cyprinodontiformes, Poeciliidae.
ACCAACCAGGCGAGAACAACAUUGUUCUCGCGCAGGUUUGACGUCAUGUGACAGCUGCACGUCAGCGUCCUAAAUUGACAGCUACGGCUUAUAUGGCUGCUAACCGCGCCUUAGAUAGGAAACGCUGUCGGACCCUGACGUACAGACGGGUGAUUAAUCAACCGAACGUUGUAAAGAUCACGGUGGGUCAAGAGGGAACUGGCCUGUUUACACAGGCCAGGUGUAUUGCAGAUCCCCUGCUCAAGGAGUGGUCGAAGGGUCUGGAAUACGGCAAGGAUUGUCUGGCUUCAUGCUGACCAGACUGGCGAGCUAACCGUUUAAGCGGAUCCGGAAAUACAACACCUAUUAUCUUCCGAACUGGUUGGAGAUUCAUCCCAACAAGUCUUCAUUGAAGGAACUGGAUUAUUAUUAUUUUGUUUUUUCCCUUUCAUCAUCAACAAAGACUGGUUGACUGCCUUGGUAUAAGGAACUCUUUUGGACUCUAAACUGUGGACUAACUUGUAUAUAUUGUAAAUAUUAAUACAACUCACCAAUUUUUGCACCA